CUCUUGCAAGUCUCCAUUCCCCUCUGGGUUCUUAUGAGCUGUUUUUCUGUAUGAGCAGUCAAAGCAUUUUAUACAGCGUGCUUCAUUCACACAAGCACUUCUUUUUCUAACAAUGACACUAUGAUGGAUGCAUCGGAGAGGAAGUCGGGGUUCCACAUCUUGCCCAAGGAUACCGUGGCGUGCAGACUGGAGCAGCCAGGGAUCAAACCUCCAACCUUCCAUAGCAACCAGGACCAUAAUGAACCCUGACUCCAACAGACACUCAGGAUCCACCUGCCCAGUAAGUCACCCGCUAACUGCAACUAUCAGAGCCCUGACCUUCUGCAGAGACGAGUCACACUGAACACAGCAAGUGUCCCUGCUCUCAGAUACAAACCCGC
Molecule: long non-coding RNA, 380 nt
Organism: Astatotilapia calliptera (eastern happy)
Lineage: Eukaryota; Metazoa; Chordata; Actinopteri; Cichliformes; Cichlidae
Source: Ensembl